Molecule: non-coding RNA, 103 nt
Filed under: Microbacterium sp.
Lineage: Bacteria; Bacillati; Actinomycetota; Actinomycetes; Micrococcales; Microbacteriaceae
Also listed under: 1 other name
Description: Glycine sequence
Rfam family: Glycine riboswitch aptamer
About the family: This family represents the bacterial glycine riboswitch.
Source: RNAcentral
UCACUCUGAAAAGCGGCGAGCCGGAUGUCUCAUCCGGCCUCGCCCGCCGACGGGGCAAGCGCUACGGCGCGGAAACUCUCAGGCCUAUGACAGAGCGGGAGGA